RNAcentral lists this ribosomal RNA (492 nucleotides) under uncultured bacterium. RNAcentral describes it as "partial 16S ribosomal RNA". It matches the Rfam family "Bacterial small subunit ribosomal RNA", at positions 29 to 507 of the family's 1533-position model. The record is from RNAcentral.
AGUGAACGCUGGCGGUAGGCCUAACACAUGCAAGUCGAACGGCAGCACAGUAAGAGCUUGCUCUUACGGGUGGCGAGUGGCGGACGGGUGAGGAAUACAUCGGAAUCUACUUUUUCGUGGGGGAUAACGUAGGGAAACUUACGCUAAUACCGCAUACGACCUACGGGUGAAAGCAGGGGAUCUUCGGACCUUGCGCGAUUGAAUGAGCCGAUGUCGGAUUAGCUAGUUGGCGGGGUAAAGGCCCACCAAGGCGACGAUCCGUAGCUGGUCUGAGAGGAUGAUCAGCCACACUGGAACUGAGACACGGUCCAGACUCCUACGGGAGGCAGCAGUGGGGAAUAUUGGGCAAUGGGCGCAAGCCUGAUCCAGCCAUACCGCGUGGGUGAAGAAGGCCUUCGGGUUGUAAAGCCCUUUCGUUGGGAAAGAAAAGCAGCAGGUUAAUACCCCGCUGUUCUGACGGUACCCAAAGAAUAAGCACCGGCUAACUUCGUG